CUUGAGUACACGCAGCGCAGGCGGAAUUCAUGGUGUAGCGGUGAAAUGCUUAGAUAUCAUGAGGAACUCCGAUCGCGAAGGCAGCCUGCGGGAGUGUUACUGACGCUUAAGCUCGAAGGUGCGGGUAUCGAACAGGAUUAGAUACCCUGGUAGUCCGCACUGUAAACGAUGGAUGCCCGCCGUUGGCGCCCUGCGCCUGCGGCCAAGCGAAAGCAUUAAGCAUCCCACCUGGGGAGUACGCCGGCAACGGUGAAACUCAAAGAAAUUGACGGGGGCCCGCACAAGCGGAGGAACAUGUGGUUUAAUUCGAUGAUACGCGAGGAACCUUACCCGGGCUUGAAUUGCAGUCGCUGCCCACAGAGACGUGGGCUCCCCUUCGGGGCGUCUGUGAAGGUGCUGCAUGGUUGUCGUCAGCUCGUGCCGUGAGGUGUCGGCUUAAGUGCCAUAACGAGCGCAACCCCCUUUCCCAGUUGCCAUCGGGUGAUGCCGGGCACUCUGGGGACACUGCCACCGCAAGGUGCGAGGAAGGUGGGGAUGACGUCAAAUCAGCACGGCCCUUACGUCCGGGGCUACACACGUGUUACAAUGGCCGGUACAGAGGGACGGUGCAAUGCAAGUUGCAUCCAAUCUUGAAAUCCGGUCCCAGUUCGGACUGGGGUCUGCAACCCGACCCCACGAAGCUGGAUUCGCUAGUAAUCGCGCAUCAGCCAUGGCGCGGUGAAUACGUUCCCGGGCCUUGUACACACCGCCCGUCAAGCCAUGAAAGCCGGGGGUGCCUGAAGUUCGUGACCGCGAGGAGCGACCUAGGGCAAGACCGGUGAUUGGGGCUAAGUCGUAACAAGGUAACC
RNAcentral lists this ribosomal RNA (848 nucleotides) under uncultured bacterium. Its description in RNAcentral is "bacterial SSU rRNA". It matches the Rfam family "Bacterial small subunit ribosomal RNA", at positions 641 to 1501 of the family's 1533-position model. The record is from RNAcentral.